CCCCGCACCGCGCCGUGCCCUUCCCGGCCUCGCACAGCACCGUGCCGCACCCCUUCCCAGCCCCGCACCACGCUGCGCCGCCCUCUCCCCAACCCCGCACCGCGCCGCCCUCUCCCCAGGCCUGCACCGCGCCGCGCCCUCUCCCCAACCCCGCACAGCGCCUCUCGCCGCAACCCACAGCCCCGCACCGCUCCCUCUUCCUGCUCCGGCAUGGAUCCAGCGAGGGAGGCAUGGAGUCGGCGACGAGCGCGAGCCCAGGAUUCGGUGGCGGUGGAGGGCGCUCGACUGCUCCUAUUUACGUUGAAGUAGUACCGUCGUGUUGGCUCGUGGUGGUAGGCGGCGACGAUGACGACCAAUAGGCUCUGGUCCAGGAGGAGGUGUCGUAUCUGCACUUGGUCUCUAGAGAUCCUGCCCCUUUGACUGCUCAUCUGUGCGAUCGUCUCUGGAGGUGUGUGUACUAAUGCAUCUUGAUUGGUUAAUGUAUUAAUUGUAGAUAGUUGGGUGAGAAAUCUCACUGCCCUGUGCAAGCACUUGGCCCUUUAUGUGUGGCAUAUAUUUCAGCAUGUUGUCACUCUCCAGCGCCAUCUCUUGAACAACUAUGAGACAACAGUAUUUAUUUGCCUCUCCAAUGUUCCCUUGGCUGAUAGUUUAUUUAUUAGUUCCAAUCCUUGUAUGAUCUGAAGCUACUAGCAUGUGUGUACAGAUAGCCAACAAUAGUGUUUUUAGCUUUCAGUCCUGCUAAUAGUUCCAGUACUUUUAUUUAUUUAUUUAUUUAUUUAUUUAUUUAUUUAUUUUCCUUCCUUUGUUCUUAAUUAAUUAGCUAUGCAUAAACAAAAUCAACUGUAUGACUUUACCUUAUUUUGUUGUUCUGUGCAGAAGCCUUAUCUAGUUCUUGCACAAGACAGGGUAUCUGAAUAUGCAAAGCUAUGUCCAACUGAACUUCUUGUAGGGAGAACUAAGGGCUGAAAUGAAGACCGUUGGUGAUUCUGGUUUGCCUGUGUCAACAUCAUCAACUUGGGAGAAAUAAGCACUGAAAAUACUUGAAGUGGUAAAGCCGAAUAUGUGUUUUAAGUUUUCUAAAUGAAGAAUCGAUAACAACAGACUUCUGAAUAAAAUAUAGGUCAUGUUAGUGUAUUUGCAACACAUCAAAGUGAAUCUGGAAUUAAAUGGCAAUCGAUGCAGUGAGUCGUGGUAGUGUGUAUACUGUUUACAUAGUAGUAGCAUACAUAUGUUUGCAAGUUUCAUAAUUUCUGUGUAGAUAAGCAUUUACUGUACAGCACGGGCCUAGAUAAGUUGUCUUACAAGUUUCAUAAUUUCUGUGCAAAACCUUGCUUGUAUCAUGGAUUGAUGUAGCUAUCAUAUGUGUUCUGUCUGCCACCUUUAACAAAGGUUUAAUGAAAUUUAUGAAACAAAUUGUCAUUGUGUUAUUUGAGUGUACAUGACUGUGCAGCUUGCUGCGACUUACAGAUUUGUGGCUUUGCAUUGUCUCAUGAAGUGGUCAAUUUUCCAACAUGGUUUAGAAGUACCUGAUGCUGAGUUCUUUUUGUAGGAUGGACUAGAAAAGACUUUGCAAGUUACUGAUUUGACUACUUUUUUCUUCUAUGGUUUUGUUCCUGUACUACAAUUUCAUCUAAUACAUUGCCUUGAUUACUCAAGUUUGAUCUAAUUUUAAUGAACUGAAAUAUGAUUUGUUGUAGGGCUGAAGCGAUAGAGGAAUAGCAGCAGGCUGAAAUGGUUUAAUUAUCUGAGGCCAAAUAUUAAGAAGAGUGGUGACAUGGCUGAAACUUGUUUCGUGGCUAGAACAUUUUGUAUUCAUGUUUUUGUUGUGCUUUUGUAUGGAAACAUAGCUGGAACAUGUAUGUGCUAGAAUGCUAUUUAUGGUUGGAAAUAAUAUUUAUAUAUUAUUUGGGAUGGUUAUCAUAAUUGUACAAGUACUUGUGUGGUUCGUAAUCUAUGAUUUUUUUAAUUGAGCUAGCUCACAAUAUC
This 1986-nucleotide long non-coding RNA is filed under the name Sorghum bicolor (sorghum). RNAcentral describes it as "long non-coding RNA (SBIC_LNC017959)". The record is from RNAcentral. Lineage: Eukaryota; Viridiplantae; Streptophyta; Magnoliopsida; Poales; Poaceae.